UACCCUGCUUCCAAGAAAAGCCUCUAAGCUUCAGUUAUGAAGAGACCGUACCGCAAACCGACACAGGUGGGCAGGAUGAGAAUUCUAAGGCGCUUGAGAGAACUCAGGAGAAGGAACUCGGCAAAUUAGCACCGUAACUUCGGGAGAAGGUGCGCCCUGGUAGAUUGAAGGCCCUCGCGGCUGGAGGUCGAAAGGGUUGCAGUGAAAUGGUGGCUGCGACUGUUUAAUAAAAACACAGCACUCUGCAAACACGAAAGUGGACGUAUAGGGUGUGACGCCUGCCCGGUGCCGGAAGGUUAAGUGAUGGGGUGCAAGCUCUUGAUCGAAGCCCCGGUAAACGGCGGCCGUAACAAUAACGGUCCUAAGGUAGCGAAAUUCCUUGUCGGGUAAGUUCCGACCUGCACGAAUGGCGUAACGAUGGCCACACUGUCUCCUCCUGAGACUCAGCGAAGUUGAAAUGUUUGUGAAGAUGCAAUCUCCCCGCGGCAAGACGGAAAGACCCCAUGAACCUUUACUGUAGCUAUGCAUUGGACUUUGAACCGGUCUGUGUAGGAUAGGUGGGAGGCUUUGAAGCGUGGACGCUAGUUCGCGUGUAGCCAACCUUGAAAUACCACCCUGGUUUGUUUGAGGUUCUAACCAUGGCCCGUGAAUCCGGGUCUGGGACCGUGCAUGGUAGGCAGUUUGACUGGGGCGGUCUCCUCCCAAAGCGUAACGGAGGAGUACGAAGGUACGCUAGGUACGGUCGGACAUCGUGCUAAUAGUGCAAUGGCAUAAGCGUGCUUGACUGCGAGACCCACACGUCGAGCAGGUACGAAAGUAGGUCAUAGUGAUCCGGUGGUUCUGUAUGGAAGGGCCAUCGCUCAACGGAUAAAAGGUACUCUGGGGAUAACAGGCUAAUACCGCCCAAGAGUUCAUAUCGACGGCGGUGUUUGGCACCUCGAUGUCGGCUCAUCACAUCCUGGGGCUGUAGCCGGUCCCAAGGGUAUGGCUGUUCGCCAUUUAAAGUGGUACGUGAGCUGGGUUUAAAACGUCGUGAGACAGUUUGGUCCCUAUCUGCCGUGGGCGCUGGAAAUUUGAAGGGACCUGCUCCUAGUACGAGAGGACCGGAGUGGACGAACCUCUGGUGUACCGGUUAUGACGCCAGUCGUAUCGCCGGGUAUCUAAGUUCGGAAGAGAUAAACGCUGAAAGCAUCUAAGCGUGAAACUCGCCUUAAGAUAAGAUUUCCCUGGGGACUCGAUCCCCCUGAAGGGUCGUCGAAGACCACGACGUUGAUAGGUCAGGUGUGGAAGCGCAGUAAUGCGUUAAGCUAACUGAUACUAAUUGCCCGUGCGGCUUGCU
RNAcentral lists this ribosomal RNA (1339 nucleotides) under metagenome. Its description in RNAcentral is "bacterial LSU rRNA". It matches the Rfam family "Bacterial large subunit ribosomal RNA", at positions 1598 to 2925 of the family's 2925-position model. The record is from RNAcentral.